CGUAGGGGCAAGCGUUAUCCGGAUUUACUGGGUGUAAAGGGAGCGUAGACGGUUAAGCAAGUCAGAAGUGAAAGGCUGGGGCUCAACCCCGGGACUGCUUUUGAAACUGUUUAACUAGAGUGCUGGAGAGGUAAGCGGAAUUCCUAGUGUAGCGGUGAAAUGCGUAGAUAUUAGGAGGAACACCAGUGGCGAAGGCGGCUUACUGGACAGUAACUGACGUUGAGGCUCGAAAGCGUGGGGGAGCAAACAGGAUU
RNAcentral lists this ribosomal RNA (254 nucleotides) under uncultured bacterium. RNAcentral describes it as "partial 16S ribosomal RNA". It matches the Rfam family "Bacterial small subunit ribosomal RNA", at positions 526 to 779 of the family's 1533-position model. The record is from RNAcentral.